RNAcentral lists this ribosomal RNA (253 nucleotides) under uncultured bacterium. RNAcentral's name for it is "partial 16S ribosomal RNA". It matches the Rfam family "Bacterial small subunit ribosomal RNA", at positions 524 to 776 of the family's 1533-position model. The record is from RNAcentral.
UACGUAGGGUGCGAGCGUUAAUCGGAAUUACUGGGCGUAAAGCGUGCGCAGGCGGUUGUGCAAGACCGAUGUGAAAUCCCCGGGCUUAACCUGGGAACUGCAUUGGUGACUGCACGGCUAGAGUGUGUCAGAAGGGGGUAGAAUUCCACGUGUAGCAGUGAAAUGCGUAGAGAUGUGGAGGAAUACCGAUGGCGAAGGCAGCCCCCUGGGAUAACACUGACGCUCAUGCACGAAAGCGUGGGGAGCAAACAGG